AGUGAGCUCCCGUAGUGGCUGCUGCAGUGUCCUGUAUAAAUCUUUAUGCAGUGAACUCCCGUAGUGGCAGCUGCAUGUCCUGUAUAAAUCUUUAUGCAGUGAACUCCCGUAGUGGCAGCUGCAUGUCCUGUAUAAAUCUUUAUGCAGUGAGCUCC
Molecule: long non-coding RNA, 155 nt
Organism: Bufo bufo (common toad)
Lineage: Eukaryota; Metazoa; Chordata; Amphibia; Anura; Bufonidae
Exons: 3
Source: RefSeq, a predicted model, not a curated record